Molecule: ribosomal RNA, 460 nt
Filed under: uncultured bacterium
Lineage: Bacteria
Description: partial 16S ribosomal RNA
Rfam family: Bacterial small subunit ribosomal RNA
Source: RNAcentral
CCUACGGGGGGCAGCAGUGAGGAAUAUUGGUCAAUGGCCGGAAGGCUGAACCAGCCAUGCCGCGUGAAGGUCAGUGCCCUAUGGGCGUUAAACUUCUUUUGUGCGGGAGCAAUAAUGGUCACGUGUGGCCAGACGAGGGUACCGUACGAAUAAGCAUAGGCUAACUCCGUGCCAGCAGCCGCGGUAAUACGGGGGAUGCAAGCGUUAUCCGGAUUUAUUGGGUUUAAAGGGGGCGUGGGCUGUGACGUAAGUUAGCGGUGAAAUGCCGCCGCUCAACGGGGUGAAGUGCCAUUGAUACUGCCUGGCUGGAGUGCGGAUGCCGUGGGAGGAAUGUGUGGUGUAGCGGUGAAAUGCAUAGAUAUCACACAGAACACCGAUUGCGAAGGCAUCUCACGAAUCCGCGAUUGACGCUGAUGCACGAAAGCGUGGGUAUCAAACAGGAUUAGAUACCCUAGUAGUC